CAAGACGUAGCUUUAACAAAAACAUUCAGCUUACACCUGAAAGAUGCCCGCCAUUGAUGGGUCGUCUUGA
This 70-nucleotide transfer RNA is filed under the name Nyctyornis amictus. Its description in RNAcentral is "tRNA-Val". Lineage: Eukaryota; Metazoa; Chordata; Aves; Coraciiformes; Meropidae. The record is from RNAcentral.